CAAAAAAUCAAUAGAUGGAAUCAGAACUCAAAAGUGUGCAAAUACAAAUAACACUCUGCAUGGUGAUAAUGCAGAAAAAACAUUUAUGGUUUAUAUAUUAUGAUGGAAUCAGUUAAAGAGGUUGUCUCACAAUUAUAUUAUCAUAAUAUUAAUAGGGGUGUGUGGAGCAGCAGUCCCAGGAGCUCUGGGGUGACGUACAGUUGUCAUGGCAACCAGGGGUCUAGUGAAGGCCCCCAAGCCUGCCAGUACUUCUAUUACACCCCGCAUAGGUAGUGUUUAGUAGAAUAACGGUUAGGGUGACAAUAUGUCAUCUUUUUCCCGCACAUGUCCUCUUUCUGGGACCUAAAAAAGUUGUCUGGCCGGGAUUUAUAAAUUAGCAAAAAUGUGGGGAAACGGGAAAGGGGGGGGCAGGUGAGCACUAUAAUGUGCUACAGUGCAAGAGCUGAAGGACCUGUGAUGAUGUCACCGUCAUGUGAUCAGUGUGGGCCGGGGGCAGAGUUCAUCAGUGGAGAGGAGAAGUGGUAAGGACCUGUGAUGAUGUCACCAUCAUGUGUUCAGGGCAGUCAGGGGCGGAGUUCAGCAGUGGAGAACCGGUGAGCCUGAGAAACCGUGGAAGUUGUAGUCCUCUCCUAUUAUACUGCCACUCUGAAUUGUUCACUGAUAUCCCAUAAUAAUGGCCUAGGUAUGCUUGGAGUUAUAGUCCUCUCCUAUUAUACUGCCUCUGUUAAUUGUCCUCUGAUAUCCCAUAAUAAUGGCCUAGGUAUGCUUGGAGUUAUAGUCCUCUCCUAUUAUACUGCCUCUCUGAAUUGUCUUCUGAUAUCCCAUAAUAACGGCCUGGACAGGCUGGGAGUUAUAAUGAAAGCACUAAUGUGUGUGCCGCAUAUGCAUAUCUCCAUUUGACAAAGUCUUGGCCCUGCGUGGAGCGGUGUAUUUUUUGACCAGUGCCUUGUAGUUGGAAAGCUCUAUGAUACUAUUUAGACCCUGGACUAGGCGAAAAUUAAUGUUUGGUCAUUUUGUAUUAUAAAUUAUGCUACCAUAAUAUUUUUAUGUUUUUUUUUUUAAUUUCCAAUAGACUAGAAAAUCCAAUAGACUAGAAAAUCAUAUCAGUCUGUACAUAAUCCGUAUAAUCAACAGUGAACAAUAAUCCGUUUAAAAAAAAAAACUUAGGUUUAUGGCCAAAUAUUGAAAACCCUUUAAGGAACAGAAAAAGUGGCAGGAAAGUAGGUGUACUUUACCAUCAUGACCCCAGGACAUGAGUACAUUUUCUAGUCCACAAUUAGGCUCAUAGAUCCCGUAUUCUGUGCUAAACAGGGAAAAUAUCAGAUAAGUUGCACUGUUUUCUGAUUACCUAUAUUGUACAAAGAAGAAUAUAAUAUCUGCUACUUUCAAGCCUCAAGCACACGAUUUUAUUUUUCAUCCAUGUGCUAUCCAAA
Molecule: long non-coding RNA, 1433 nt
Organism: Bufo bufo (common toad)
Lineage: Eukaryota; Metazoa; Chordata; Amphibia; Anura; Bufonidae
Exons: 2
Source: RefSeq, a predicted model, not a curated record